GCAUAUCAAUAAGCGGAGGAAAAGAAACUAACAAGGAUUCCCCUAGUAACUGCGAGUGAAGCGGGAAAAGCUCAAAUUUAAAAGCUGGCGGUCUUUGGCCGUCCGCAUUGUAAUCUAGAGAAGUGUUACCCGCGUUGGACCGUGUACAAGUCUCCUGGAAUGGAGCGUCAUAGAGGGUGACAAUCCCGUCUUUGACACGGACUCCCAAGGCUUUGUGGUGCGCUCUCAAAGAGUCGAGUUGUUUGGGAAUGCAGCUCUAAAUGGGUGGUAAAUUCCAUCUAAAGCUAAAUAUUGGCGAGAGACCGAUAGCGAACAAGUACCGUGAGGGAAAGAUGAAAAGAACUUUGGAAAGAGAGUUAAACAGUACGUGAAAUUGCUGAAAGGGAAACGCUUGAAGUCAGUCGCGUCGUCCGGAGAUCAACCUUGCUUUUGCUGGGCGUACUCUCCGGUUGACGGGCCAGCAUCAGUUUUGGCCACUGGAAAAGGGCGGAGGAAAUGUGGCAUCCUCGGAUGUGUUAUAGUCUUCCGUCGUAUACAGUGGCUGGGACUGAGGAACUCAGCACGCCGCAAGGCCGGGAUUUAUCCACGUACGUGCUUAGGAUGCUGGCAUAAUGGCUUUAAUCGACCCGUU
This 631-nucleotide ribosomal RNA is filed under the name Gymnopilus junonius. RNAcentral's name for it is "LSU rRNA". It matches the Rfam family "Eukaryotic large subunit ribosomal RNA", at positions 38 to 653 of the family's 3401-position model. The record is from RNAcentral. Lineage: Eukaryota; Fungi; Basidiomycota; Agaricomycetes; Agaricales; Galerinaceae.